Molecule: transfer RNA, 71 nt
Filed under: Paracercomonas marina
Lineage: Eukaryota; Cercozoa; Cercomonadida; Cercomonadidae
Description: tRNA-Glu
Rfam family: tRNA
About the family: Transfer RNA (tRNA) molecules are approximately 80 nucleotides in length. Their secondary structure includes four short double-helical elements and three loops (D, anti-codon, and T loops). Further hydrogen bonds mediate the characteristic L-shaped molecular structure. tRNAs have two regions of fundamental functional importance: the anti-codon, which is responsible for specific mRNA codon recognition, and the 3' end, to which the tRNAs corresponding amino acid is attached (by aminoacyl-tRNA synthetases). tRNAs cope with the degeneracy of the genetic code in two manners: having more than one tRNA (with a specific anti-codon) for a particular amino acid; and 'wobble' base-pairing, i.e. permitting non-standard base-pairing at the 3rd anti-codon position.
Source: RNAcentral
ACUUUGUUAGUUCAGUAGCAGAAUGCCUGCCCUUCAAGCAGGAGACAAAGGUGCGAUUCCUUUACAGAGUA